Neofelis nebulosa (Clouded leopard) is the source of this 453-nucleotide long non-coding RNA. RefSeq lists it as uncharacterized. Lineage: Eukaryota; Metazoa; Chordata; Mammalia; Carnivora; Felidae. The transcript has 2 exons. The record is from RefSeq and is a predicted model, not a curated record.
UAUAUAUAUAUAUAUAUAUAUAGCUGUGUUAGUGUUAAGAUUUUUCCCCUUUCUUUUGUCUAAACUCUGGAGAAAGAACAACCAUGGAAAUUAGAAGGGAGCAUGGAAUAUUUCUUUCUGAGCGGCUGAAAACAAGCACCAAAGUCCACCAGAGUUAUUUAUAGAGACAGAAGUUUGGACAGAGCUCUUAAAAAAGUGGUCAGUGGAAUAUUACCUUCAAGAUGAACAUGUAUGCAGCCGGAGAACAUUCUCAAGCUUCUGGAUGGCUCACGAAGGGAGAGUGUAUCUGGUGCUGAUGUGUGGUGCUGGUUUUGAGGCCAUAUCUCAUUUGUAGCCAGGUAGCUGCCACCUGCUUCUCUAGACUUCGCCGGAGUAAUUCAUGCUGAGCGUCUGUCUCGAUUCGGGGAAGGCGCCGCUGCAUCCACGUUUCACAAUAAAUAUCUUUUUAAACGG